RNAcentral lists this transfer RNA (74 nucleotides) under Synechococcus phage S-B64. It matches the Rfam family "tRNA". Rfam says of the family: Transfer RNA (tRNA) molecules are approximately 80 nucleotides in length. RNAcentral also lists the same sequence under 1 other name. Lineage: Duplodnaviria; Heunggongvirae; Uroviricota; Caudoviricetes; Pantevenvirales; Kyanoviridae. The record is from Rfam by way of RNAcentral.
CGGGGUGUAGCGCAGUUUGGUAGCGCAUCUGCUUUGGGAGCAGAGGGUCGCAGGUUCGAAUCCUGUCACCCCGA